UACGAAGUGUGCAGGCGUUAAUCGGAAUUACUGGGCGUAAAGCGCGCGUAGGUGGUUCGUUAAGUUAGGAGUGAAAGCCCCGGGCUCAACCUGGGAAUUGCUUCUAAAACUGGCGAGCUAGAGUAUGGUAGAGGGUGGUGGAAUUUCCUGUGUAGCGGUGAAAUGCGUAGAUAUCAAGAGGAACGCCGAAGGUGAAGACAGCACACUGGACUUGUACUGACGCUGAGGCGCGAAAGCGUGGGGAGCAAACAGGAUUAGAUACCCUGGUAGU
RNAcentral lists this ribosomal RNA (271 nucleotides) under uncultured prokaryote. Its description in RNAcentral is "partial 16S ribosomal RNA". It matches the Rfam family "Bacterial small subunit ribosomal RNA", at positions 524 to 794 of the family's 1533-position model. The record is from RNAcentral.